RNAcentral lists this transfer RNA (72 nucleotides) under Crassvirales sp. RNAcentral describes it as "tRNA-Lys". It matches the Rfam family "tRNA". Rfam says of the family: Transfer RNA (tRNA) molecules are approximately 80 nucleotides in length. Their secondary structure includes four short double-helical elements and three loops (D, anti-codon, and T loops). The record is from RNAcentral. Lineage: Duplodnaviria; Heunggongvirae; Uroviricota; Caudoviricetes; Crassvirales.
UCCCCUAUAGCAGACAGGUGUGGGCACCAAUCUUUUAAAUUGGGAGGUCUGGUUCAAUUCCAGAUGGGGGAA